UGGCGAGUCAGUCGCCUCUAACACUAAUAAAAGCUUUUAAGAAAAACCACUCUUAUUAAAUGAAAAAAGAAGCACACACUGAUCUAUAGAAAAUUAUCCCUCUCAAUUUCCUCUUUGCUUAAAUCUCUCAAUUCGAACCGCUCAAAUCACAAAUUGUGAUCCAUCUGAUAGCAACACAAAAUCCCUAAUCAGAAAUCGUGACUCCAUCAGAUCCAUGAAAUGGCAAUGGUCUCUGCGGUCCAAGAAGCUCAGAAGGAUAACCUAAAAAAUUUUAAUGAUUACAUGAUGAAAGUUCUGGAGAACGAGUGGAAGAAGGAAAAAGGGGACUUCCUCCGGAGCCUAAGCUGAAUUUCUGCCUUACCUAGGACCAAUAUCAGUGAAUCAAGCCCUUUAGGUGGUCGUUAGGGGCAAAUAGCAUCUUUGACAUAUAGCCCUCAGAUUUCUUCCGGUCUAGCUAGUGUGGAGUCUGUACCAUUAGCCAAUAGGCCCAUUUUUGAGAAAAAAGUUGCUGUAUAUGGAGAAGUUGUCAAGAAUCUCAAUAGUGCAAGAGAGCGUAGUUUUCCCUUCAAAGUAAGUUCCCCAGCUUGGCUCUUCAUGGCUUGGUUCCUCCUUCCUGCGAAGCCAGUAUAUUUCUUCUAUUUAGUUUUUGUGAUUAUAUCUUGUAUUGAUUUAUUAUGUAAUUAGAGAACUAAGAUGUCAAUUAUUACACCUAAUUAAAAGAACAUGAAGAUUGUUACCUGGGGCUUGAAACGGAAUAGUUGCAAAGUACUUGGAUUCUAAGAA
Long non-coding RNA from Nicotiana tabacum (common tobacco), 783 nucleotides. RefSeq lists it as uncharacterized. The record is from RefSeq and is a predicted model, not a curated record. Lineage: Eukaryota; Viridiplantae; Streptophyta; Magnoliopsida; Solanales; Solanaceae.